Molecule: non-coding RNA, 73 nt
Filed under: Pusillimonas noertemannii
Lineage: Bacteria; Pseudomonadati; Pseudomonadota; Betaproteobacteria; Burkholderiales; Alcaligenaceae
Source: RNAcentral
AACCGCCCGGUGCGGACCCGCAUGCCGGGUGGUGUGGGAGGGGCGCAGCCUCAAGGCUGCCCCCUAUCCCGAU